This is a long non-coding RNA of Hyla sarda, 342 nucleotides long. RefSeq lists it as uncharacterized. NCBI's taxonomy places the organism in Eukaryota, Metazoa, Chordata, Amphibia, Anura, Hylidae. The record is from RefSeq and is a predicted model, not a curated record. The transcript has 3 exons.
UUUCUUCCCUUAUCUUAAAUGGCCAACAAUAGCUACGCACUUGAUGAGCACAUGCGCAUAUGCCUGACGUCGGGUAUUGACCUUAAAGAUAAAAAUGAAAAAAAUGGGGAACCGUGCCUCGUGUAUUAUCCAAGGGGUAGCAAACUUAUUCACUGGAGAUGAACUGCCAAGCCUGACAGGUUGCAGGAAGAGGAUAACCCCAUCUGAUCUCAAGAAACAAUAGGCCGGAAGAAGCACGCACUUACGUGCGAAACUGCCGACAUAGCCUCCAAGCGCCAUACACCAGCGCCGAUGCCGAGAUCCGUCACCCCGUCACCGAAUCUCAAUACCUGACUGUCUCUG